CGAUGGAUUAAAUUGAUCAUGCUCACNUGACUNGGCGGCAGGCUAACACAUGCAAGUCGAACGUAGCACAGAGAGCUUGCUCUUGGGUGACGAGUGGCGGACGGGUGAGUAAUGUCUGGGAAACUGCCCGAUGGAGGGGGAUAACUACUGGAAACGGUAGCUAAUACCGCAUAACGUCUUCGGACCAAAGUGGGGGACCUUCGGGCCUCAC
RNAcentral lists this ribosomal RNA (211 nucleotides) under uncultured bacterium. RNAcentral's name for it is "partial 16S ribosomal RNA". It matches the Rfam family "Bacterial small subunit ribosomal RNA", at positions 1 to 216 of the family's 1533-position model. The record is from RNAcentral.